This 78-nucleotide transfer RNA is filed under the name Candidatus Bathyarchaeota archaeon. RNAcentral's name for it is "tRNA-Glu". It matches the Rfam family "tRNA". Rfam says of the family: Transfer RNA (tRNA) molecules are approximately 80 nucleotides in length. Their secondary structure includes four short double-helical elements and three loops (D, anti-codon, and T loops). The record is from RNAcentral. RNAcentral also lists the same sequence under 2 other names. Lineage: Archaea; Thermoproteati; Candidatus Bathyarchaeota.
GCUCCGGUAGUAUAGCUCGGCCAAGUAUUCCGGCCUUUCGAGCCGGAGACCCGGGUUCAAAUCCCGGCCGGAGCACCA